RNAcentral lists this ribosomal RNA (429 nucleotides) under uncultured bacterium. Its description in RNAcentral is "bacterial SSU rRNA". It matches the Rfam family "Bacterial small subunit ribosomal RNA", at positions 355 to 775 of the family's 1533-position model. The record is from RNAcentral.
UGGGGAAUUUUGCGCAAUGGGGGAAACCCUGACGCAGCAACGCCGCGUGAGUGAUGAAGGCCUUCGGGUCGUAAAGCUCUGUCAGAGGGGAAGAAGUGUGAGGUGGCUAAUAUCCAUUUCACUUGACGGUACCUUCAAAGGAAGCACCGGCUAACUCCGUGCCAGCAGCCGCGGUAAUACGGAGGGUGCGAGCGUUGUUCGGAAUUAUUGGGCGUAAAGCGCGUGUAGGCGGUUUUUUAAGUCUGAUGUGAAAGCCCUGGGCUCAACCCGGGAAGUGCAUUGGAAACUGGGAGACUUGAAUACGGGAGAGGGCAGUGGAAUUCCUGGUGUAGGAGUGAAAUCCGUAGAUAUCAGGAGGAACACCGGUGGCGAAGGCGGCUGCCCGGACCGAUAUUGACGCUGAGACGCGAAAGCGUGGGGAGCAAACAG